This 70-nucleotide transfer RNA is filed under the name Doedicurus sp. FD-2016a. RNAcentral's name for it is "tRNA-Glu". It matches the Rfam family "tRNA". Rfam says of the family: Transfer RNA (tRNA) molecules are approximately 80 nucleotides in length. Their secondary structure includes four short double-helical elements and three loops (D, anti-codon, and T loops). RNAcentral also lists the same sequence under 1 other name. The record is from RNAcentral. Lineage: Eukaryota; Metazoa; Chordata; Mammalia; Cingulata; Chlamyphoridae.
GUUCUCGUAGUUGAAUUUACAACGGUGGUUUUUCAUAUCAUUGGUCAUGGUUUAGUCCCAUGUGGGAACU